Molecule: ribosomal RNA, 434 nt
Filed under: uncultured Lachnospiraceae bacterium
Lineage: Bacteria; Bacillati; Bacillota; Clostridia; Lachnospirales; Lachnospiraceae
Description: partial 16S ribosomal RNA
Rfam family: Bacterial small subunit ribosomal RNA
Source: RNAcentral
ACGGGAGGCAGCAGUGGGGAAUAUUGGACAAUGGAGGAAACUCUGAUCCAGCGACGCCGCGUGAGUGAAGAAGUAUUUCGGUAUGUAAAGCUCUAUCAGCAGGGAAGAUAAUGACGGUACCUGACUAAGAAGCCCCGGCUAACUACGUGCCAGCAGCCGCGGUAAUACGUAGGGGGCAAGCGUUAUCCGGAUUUACUGGGUGUAAAGGGAGCGUAGACGGCGAUGCAAGUCUGAAGUGAAAGGCGGGGGCUCAACCCUUGGACUGCUUUGGAAACUGUAUUGCUAGAGUGCAGGAGAGGUAAGUGGAAUUCCUAGUGUAGCGGUGAAAUGCGUAGAUAUUAGGAGGAACACCAGUGGCGAAGGCGGCUUACUGGACUGUAACUGACGUUGAGGCUCGAAAGCGUGGGGAGCAAACAGGAUUAGAUACCCUGGUA